GCCGAGGUGGCGGAAUUGGUAGACGCGCCAGCUUCAGGUGCUGGUGGGGGCAACCUCGUGCCGGUUCGAGUCCGGCCCUCGGUACCA
This 87-nucleotide transfer RNA is filed under the name Gammaproteobacteria bacterium. RNAcentral describes it as "tRNA-Leu". It matches the Rfam family "tRNA". From Rfam's summary of the family: Transfer RNA (tRNA) molecules are approximately 80 nucleotides in length. Their secondary structure includes four short double-helical elements and three loops (D, anti-codon, and T loops). The record is from RNAcentral. Lineage: Bacteria; Pseudomonadati; Pseudomonadota; Gammaproteobacteria. RNAcentral also lists the same sequence under 6 other names.